AAAACAUAGCCAGAUGAAGAUAUUUUUGGUUUAACCUGCCCAAUGUAGAUAUUAUGAAUGGCCGCGGUACCCUGACCGUGCUAAGGUAGCGUAAUCAGUUGGCUUUUAAAUGGAGUCAGGUAUGAAUGGGAUAACCGGGUUUAGCUGUCUCAGAGAUACUAAAUUGAAUUUACUGUUCAAGUGAAAAAGCUUGGUGUAUAAAAAGGGACGAGAAGACCCUUAGAAUUUUAUUUAAGACAAGAUUUUGUUGUUGUGAUUUUGUUGGGGCGACAGAGAAAUAAUUAAAACUUUCUUUAAAUUAUAAGUCGGAAUUUUCAGGAUAAGAUAAAUUACCUGAGGGAUAACAGCAUAAUUCUAUAAUUGAGUUUGUGACCUCGAUGUUGGACUAGGGAGCUGGCAGGUUAGCUGCUUGCCGUGCGGAUUCUGUUCGAAUUUUAACCCCUACGUGA
Molecule: ribosomal RNA, 449 nt
Filed under: Cuthona nana
Lineage: Eukaryota; Metazoa; Mollusca; Gastropoda; Nudibranchia; Cuthonidae
Description: partial 16S ribosomal RNA
Rfam family: Archaeal large subunit ribosomal RNA
Source: RNAcentral